This 406-nucleotide ribosomal RNA is filed under the name uncultured bacterium. RNAcentral's name for it is "partial 16S ribosomal RNA". It matches the Rfam family "Bacterial small subunit ribosomal RNA", at positions 30 to 526 of the family's 1533-position model. The record is from RNAcentral.
AUUGAACGCUGGCGGCAGGCCUAACACAUGCAAGUCGAGCGAGCGGCGGACGGGUGAGUAAUGUAUGGGGAACUGCCCGAUAGAGGGGGAUAACUACUGGAAACGGUGGCUAAUACCGCAUACUAUCGGAUGAACCCAUAGGGGAUUAGCUCGUUGGUGGGUUAAAGGCUCACCAGGGCGACGAUCCCUAGCUGGUCUGAGAGGAUGACCCGCCACACUGGAACUGAGACACGGCCCAGACUCCUACGGUAGGCAGCAGUGGGGAAUAUUGAACAAUGGGCGCAAGCCUGAUGCAGCCAUGCCGCGUGUAUGAAGAAGGCCUUAGGGUUGUAAAGUACUUUCAGCGGGGAGGCGUUACCCGCAGAAGAAGCACCGGCUAACUCCGUGCCAGCAGCCGCGGUAAUUC